RNAcentral lists this ribosomal RNA (1935 nucleotides) under Jonesiaceae bacterium UBA3555. RNAcentral's name for it is "bacterial LSU rRNA". It matches the Rfam family "Bacterial large subunit ribosomal RNA", at positions 1147 to 2925 of the family's 2925-position model. The record is from RNAcentral. Lineage: Bacteria; Bacillati; Actinomycetota; Actinomycetes; Micrococcales; Jonesiaceae.
GGUCAAGUGAUUCCGCGCCGACAAUGUAGCGGGGCUCAAGUACACCGCCGAAGCUGUGGCAUUCACACAUUUGCUAGGCCUUCGUGGUCCAGGCGUGUGGAUGGGUAGGGGAGCGUCGUGUGGGCGUUGAAGCCGCGGGGGAACCCAGCGGUGGAGCCUACACGAGUGAGAAUGCAGGCAUGAGUAGCGAAUGACGGGUGAGAAUCCCGUCCGCCGAAUGACCAAGGGUUCCAGGGCCAGGUUCAUCCUCCCUGGGUUAGUCGGGACCUAAGGCGAGGCCGACAGGCGUAGUCGAUGGACAACGGGUUGAUAUUCCCGUACCGGCGAAGGACCGCCCAUACUGAGCAAUGGAUGCUAACCAUGACGGAUUCCAGCGUUGAUGCCUUUUAGGUGUCUUGUUGGUUGGUGUGGUGGGAACCGAUGUUGUGAGGUCAGCGUAUUAACAGGUGUGACGCAGGAAGGUAGCCGAGCCAGGCAAUGGAAUUGACCUGGUCCAAGGGUGUAGGAAGAACGGUAGGCAAAUCCGCUGUUCAUUGUUUCUGAGACCUGAUAGGCGCCCCGUUUGUGGGGUGAUUCGGUGAUCCUAUGCUGCCUAGAAAAGCAUCGGCGCGAGGUCCCAGUCCGCCCGUACCCUAAACCGACACAGGUGAUCAGGUAGAGAAUACUAAGGCGAUCGAGAGAAUCAUGGUUAAGGAACUCGGCAAAAUGCCCCCGUAACUUCGGAAGAAGGGGGGCCUGCCCCGUGAUGGAGACUUGCUCUCCGGAUGCGGGUGUGGGCCGCAGAGACCAGGGGGAAGCGACUGUUUACUAAAAACACAGGUCCGUGCGAAGUCGCAAGACGAUGUAUACGGACUGACGCCUGCCCGGUGCUGGAAGGUUAAGAGGACCGGUUAGCUCUUCGGAGCGAAGCUGAGAAUUUAAGCCCCAGUAAACGGCGGUGGUAACUAUAACCAUCCUAAGGUAGCGAAAUUCCUUGUCGGGUAAGUUCCGACCUGCACGAAUGGCGUAACGACUUCUCCGCUGUCUCAACCAUAAACUCGGCGAAAUUGCAGUACGAGUAAAGAUGCUCGUUACGCGCAGCAGGACGGAAAGACCCCGGGACCUUUACUAUAGCUUGGUAUUGGUGUUCGGAACGGCUUGUGUAGGAUAGGUGGGAGACUGUGAAGCUCGGACGCUAGUUCGGGUGGAGUCAUCGUUGAAAUACCACUCUGGCUGUACCGGUCACCUAACUUCGGACCAUGAUCUGGUUCAGGGACAGUGCCUGAUGGGUAGUUUAACUGGGGCGGUUGCCUCCUAAAAUGUAACGGAGGCGCCCAAAGGUUCCCUCAGCCUGGUUGGCAAUCAGGUGUUGAGUGUAAGUGCACAAGGGAGCUUGACUGUGAGAGUGACAGCUCGAGCAGGGACGAAAGUCGGGACUAGUGAUCCGGCGGCACCUCGUGGAAGGGCCGUCGCUCAACGGAUAAAAGGUACCCCGGGGAUAACAGGCUGAUCUUGCCCAAGAGUCCAUAUCGACGGCAUGGUUUGGCACCUCGAUGUCGGCUCGUCGCAUCCUGGGGCUGGAGUAGGUCCCAAGGGUUGGGCUGUUCGCCCAUUAAAGCGGUACGCGAGCUGGGUUUAGAACGUCGUGAGACAGUUCGGUCCCUAUCCGCUGCGCGCGUAGGAAACUUGAGGAGACCUGUCCCUAGUACGAGAGGACCGGGACGGACGAACCACUGGUGUGCCAGUUGUACCGCCAGGUGCAUGGCUGGUUAGCUACGUUCGGAAGGGAUAACCGCUGAAAGCAUCUAAGCGGGAAGCCUGCUCCAAGAUAAGGUUUCCAUCACCCUUGUGGUGUGUAGGCACCCAGUAGACCACUGGGUUGAUAGGCCGGAUGUGGAAGCGAGGACUAACGACUCGUGGAGCUGACCGGUACUAAUCUGCCAACAACUUAAAACA